AACCGGAGGAAGGUGGGGAUGACGUCAAAUCCUCAUGCCCCUUAUGAUUUGGGCUAGCACACUUGCUACAAUGGACAAUACAAUGGGCAGCUAACCCACCCGGUCAUGCAAAUCCCAUAAAGUUGUUCUCAGUUCGGAUUGUAGUCUGCAACUCUACUACAUGAUGCUGGAAUCGCUAAUAAUCGUUCAUCAGAGUGCUACGGAGAAUACUUUCGGGGGUCUUGUACACCCCCCCCGUCACACCAAGAGUUUUUGUAACACCCGAAGGCGGGGGAAUAACUUUUUGUGGAUCUCCCCCUAAAAGGGGAGAAAAAUGAUUGGGGAGAACUCAUAACGGGGUAGCCAUAUCAGAGGGUGGUGUUGGAUCAAC
Molecule: ribosomal RNA, 370 nt
Filed under: Staphylococcus saprophyticus
Lineage: Bacteria; Bacillati; Bacillota; Bacilli; Caryophanales; Staphylococcaceae
Description: partial 16S ribosomal RNA
Rfam family: Bacterial small subunit ribosomal RNA
Source: RNAcentral